AUUGAACGCUGGCGGCAGGCCUAACACAUGCAAGUCGAGCGGAUGAAGGGAGCUUGCUCCUGGAUUCAGCGGCGGACGGGUGAGUAAUGCCAGGAAUCUGCCUGGUAGUGGGGGAUAACGUCCGGAAACGGGCGCUAAUACCGCAUACGUCCUGAGGGAGAAAGUGGGGGAUCUUCGGACCUCACGCUAUCAGAUGAGCCUAGGUCGGAUUAGCUAGUUGGUGGGGUAAAGGCCUACCAAGGCGACGAUCCGUAACUGGUCUGAGAGGAUGAUCAGUCACACUGGAACUGAGACACGGUCCAGACUCCUACGGGAGGCAGCAGUGGGGAAUAUUGGACAAUGGGCGAAAGCCUGAUCCAGCCAUGCCGCGUGUGUGAAGAAGGUCUUCGGAUUGUAAAGCACUUUAAGUUGGGAGGAAGGGCAGUAAGUUAAUACCUUGCUGUUUUGACGUUACCAACAGAAUAAGCACCGGCUAACUUCGUG
RNAcentral lists this ribosomal RNA (483 nucleotides) under uncultured bacterium. RNAcentral's name for it is "partial 16S ribosomal RNA". It matches the Rfam family "Bacterial small subunit ribosomal RNA", at positions 30 to 507 of the family's 1533-position model. The record is from RNAcentral.